RNAcentral lists this ribosomal RNA (253 nucleotides) under uncultured bacterium. Its description in RNAcentral is "partial 16S ribosomal RNA". It matches the Rfam family "Bacterial small subunit ribosomal RNA", at positions 524 to 776 of the family's 1533-position model. The record is from RNAcentral.
UACGAAGGGUGCAAGCGUUACUCGGAAUUACUGGGCGUAAAGCGUGCGUAGGUGGUUUGUUAAGUCUGAUGUGAAAGCCCUGGGCUCAACCUGGGAACGGCAUUGGAAACUGGCUUACUAGAGUGCGGUAGAGGGGUGUGGAAUUCCCGGUGUAGCAGUGAAAUGCGUAGAUAUCGGGAGGAACAUCUGUGGCGAAGGCGACACCCUGGACCAGCACUGACACUGAGGAGCGAAAGCGUGGGGAGCGAACAGG